CACCGCGGUUAUACGAGAGGCCCAAGUUGAUAAGCCCGGCGUAAAGAGUGGUUAUGGAACCCGCCCCCACUAAAGCUAAAGAGCCCCUAAGCUGUUAUACGCACUUGGAAGCUUGAACCCCUGAUACGAAAGUAGCUUUAUCUUCUCCUGAACCCACGAUAGCUGGGGCA
RNAcentral lists this ribosomal RNA (170 nucleotides) under Sardinella aurita (round sardinella). RNAcentral describes it as "partial small subunit ribosomal RNA". Lineage: Eukaryota; Metazoa; Chordata; Actinopteri; Clupeiformes; Clupeidae. The record is from RNAcentral.